AGCAGCCGCGGUAAUUCCAGCUCCAAUAGCGUAUAUUAAAGUUGUUGCAGUUAAAAAGCUCGUAGUUGAAUUUCGGGGUUAGUAGGUUGGUCAUGCCUCUGGUAUGUACUGGUCUCACUGAUUCCUCCUUCCUGAUGAGCCGUAAUGCCAUUAAUUUGGUGUUGCGGGGAAUUUGGACUGUUACUUUGAAAAAAUUAGAGUGUUUAAAGCAAGCUAACGCUUGAAUACAUUAGCAUGGAAUAAUGAAAUAGGACGUUCGAUCCUAUUUUGUUGGUUUCUAGGAUUGACGUAAUGAUUAAUAGGGAUAGUUGGGGGCAUUAGUAUUCAAUUGUCAGAGGUGAAAUUCUUGGAUUUAUUGAAGACUAACUACUGCGAAAGCAUUUGCCAAGGAUGUUUUCAUUAAUCAAGAACGAAAGUUAGGGGAUCGAAGACGAUCAGAUACCGUCGUAGUCUUAACCAUAAACUGUGCCGACUAGGGAUCGGAUGAUGUUAAUUUUUUAAUGACUCAUUCGGCGCCUUA
This 520-nucleotide unclassified non-coding RNA is filed under the name uncultured Glomus. RNAcentral describes it as "SSU rRNA". It matches the Rfam family "Eukaryotic small subunit ribosomal RNA", at positions 569 to 1090 of the family's 1831-position model. Lineage: Eukaryota; Fungi; Glomeromycota; Glomeromycetes; Glomerales; Glomeraceae. The record is from RNAcentral. RNAcentral also lists the same sequence under 1 other name.